CCUUGCCUCUUUAACUAGAGAGACUGCAAGCUCACUGAGUGCAGGGACUAUGCCUUAUUCUACUUUUGGCUAGCACAGUGCCUAAUUCAGGGCUGGCCAGAUAGUGACAAUGAAUGACUGUUUUUUUGGAUGAAUGAAUACAAGAAUGAAUAAAUGAAAGAAUGAACAGCUAAAGAAAGAAUGAAUGAAGUUAGGGUACAGAAUGAAUAGACGUGUAUUGUUCCCUGGGAAAGGCAGUGGAUAUGGCUAUAGGGCCACUAGCCAAAAUACCGCCAUUACAGAAACAAUUAAAACAACCAGAGGCUAAAGGAGACUACCAAGUCCAUUUUUGGUAUCUUGAAAACAUUUUAUUUCAAUACUAUCCUCAUGUGGCGGCAUAAAUAAUCACAGGAGACAACACAGUUCAAGUAAGGAGAUGGGAGAAAGAAAGCAAAAGGUGUGAGUGGACAGAGAAUUACUUUCAUCCAGCUAGUGCUAGACAGUCAUGUAAAAGGCCCUAUAUAGUAAUGGGAGAAAGCAAGGGAAUGUGGUAGAAUCCCAUAGCAGCCAGUGGCUGACAUGGGCCCCGCUCCUGUGGGGUGGGUUUGUCUAGCUACUUGGCUGUGGCACAUAGUACUGGAAAAGUUAACAGCGAUAAACCUAGCUGUUGGGCUUUAUAGCUUGCCUGGCCUUGCCAUCUAGUCUUCACAAACAUAAACAGAUGUGUUUGGCCCAGAUAUCUGUCGUUGUGCCCAUGGGGAAAAAGAGAUGUGUGCAGAAGAACCAGAGUGGAAUAGCACUUGGGUAGUAUAUCUGGGCCAUCUUAGUCUCAUGCUUCCCAGAGGAAGAAGGCAACUUCUCAACCUGAGUCUAGGGAGAAGACCAGAGUUAACCCAGGGAAGGAGAGAAGUGUCUCACUGCUUGAAAAGGCUCAGUCCAGGUCUUUAUAAUACAAUUGGCACAAUUAUUGUUGAGGGUGUAGAAGGAUUUCUCUCCUAUUAAAAUUUCCCAGAAUGACUUGGACAUAAGUCCCACUGAAAAUGGUAUCAUGAUGUCAUGAGAAGAACCCUGCAUGAGGAGACAGGAGACCUGACUUCAAGUUCAUGCUUUGCCACUAUCUGGGUGGCUUUCGGUAAGUCACUUCAGUUCAUGCCUUGGUUUUCCCAUUUGUAAAAUGGGAAUAAUACUGCCCUCUCUACUACACAGGAGUGUUGUGAAGGUCAAAUGAAAUCAUUUAUGUUUAAGUGCUUUGAAAAGUAUAAAGCGCUAUGCAAAUACAAGGGAUGGUUAUUAUUUCAGUAGGUGUUUGGUUUGGUUUUAAAGACACAGAGGUUGUUUUUGGUGGGAAAGAAAUAAAAGGAAACCUGGCUCUUCCAAGUUAAGAACUGAGGUUUACAGGGGCUGCUUUGAAAGAAGAGAGGAGGGAGGUGGAAGAAGAGGAGAAAAGAGAGUAUUUCAAUGAAUAUCAGCGAAUUAAGCCCUUAUUUCAUGGCAUCUACAAGCAAGUGGCUUUGAGCUUCAGCUAUUGAGAGCUGUGUAUUCCCCGCCGCCGCCCUCUGCAUGGGAAAAGUUAACCGCAGUCAACCUGGCUGUUUCAUUUUAUGGCUUCCCCAGCUUCUCUAUGUCGUCUUCCGGCCAGCUUUAAGCAGCCCCUCUUGGUGAGUUCUCUAAUCUUGUGAUCCAUCAGAAGAGAUGCCACCCGCUAAUUCCUCCAAGAAAACCAUAGGGGUACGAAUCCAGAGUCAGCCCUCUCCAGGACAGUAGUUUUCAGUUACAGCAGUACAGUUUUUGAGUUCCAGCUGCAGCUGCCGAAUGCGGAUGUCUUUCUGGGAGAGUUCCUCUUUCAAUCGCCGAAUCUCGUCCUGCUGUCGGAAGAACAUUCGGAGGAGCUGAGAGGGAGGGACAAACAGAUGGGGUGGAAAGAGAAUAAAGAGAAAAAUGAGGAAACUGAGGCUGAAGGAGGUUAAGUGACUUACCCAGGGUCACUCAGCUAGUAAAUGUCUGAAGCAAGAUUCAACACAAGCCUUCCUGAAUUCAAGCCCAGCGUCUAUCUAUCUACUAAGCCGUGUUGCCUCAGGCACAAAGGACAUAUUUGAAGCAUCCUGUGCUGGCCCCUCUCACAUCUCACCCCCAAGAAAAAACAUAACGAUGAAUUGUCAGUUGCCAUCACCACCUAAACAUCAUGGCAGAGACCAGACAGCUGAGAAACAACAUGGCCAGUGGAGCUGAUUAGCACAUGUGCUGUUGGAUUCUUUUUGUAUGUAUCUAUCAUUGGUGGUUUGUUAUGUUAUUGAUAAACCCUGUGGUUAAAUUUAA
Molecule: non-coding RNA, 2295 nt
Organism: Phascolarctos cinereus (koala)
Lineage: Eukaryota; Metazoa; Chordata; Mammalia; Diprotodontia; Phascolarctidae
Source: RefSeq, a predicted model, not a curated record